UACGGAGGGGGCUAGCGUUGUUCGGAAUUACUGGGCGUAAAGCGCACGUAGGCUGUUUUGUAAGUCAGAGGUGAAAGCCCGGGGCUCAACCCCGGAUGUGCCUUUGAGACUGCAGAACUAGAACGUCGGAGAGGUGAGUGGAAUUCCGAGUGUAGAGGUGAAAUUCGUAGAUAUUCGGAAGAACACCAGUGGCGAAGGCGGCUCACUGGACGACUGUUGACGCUGAGGUGCGAAAGCGUGGGGAGCAAACAGG
Molecule: ribosomal RNA, 253 nt
Filed under: uncultured bacterium
Lineage: Bacteria
Description: partial 16S ribosomal RNA
Rfam family: Bacterial small subunit ribosomal RNA
Source: RNAcentral